RNAcentral lists this ribosomal RNA (255 nucleotides) under uncultured bacterium. RNAcentral describes it as "partial small subunit ribosomal RNA". It matches the Rfam family "Bacterial small subunit ribosomal RNA", at positions 26 to 285 of the family's 1533-position model. The record is from RNAcentral.
AGGACGAACGCUGGCGGCGUGCUUAACACAUGCAAGUCGAGCGGAAAGGCCCUUCGGGGUACUCGAGCGGCGAACGGGUGAGUAACACGUGAGUAACCUGCCCUGGACUUUGGGAUAACCCUCGGAAACGGGGGCUAAUACCGGAUACGACGCACUCUCGCAUGGGAUGUGUGUGGAAAGUUUUUCGGUUUGGGAUGGGCUCGCGGACUAUCAGCUUGUUGGUGGGGUGAUGGCCUACCAAGGCGACGACGGUUA